RNAcentral lists this ribosomal RNA (348 nucleotides) under Neotermes sp. RKA203. RNAcentral describes it as "partial large subunit ribosomal RNA". The record is from RNAcentral. Lineage: Eukaryota; Metazoa; Arthropoda; Insecta; Blattodea; Kalotermitidae.
UCUGUGCGAAGGUAGCAUAAUCAUUAGUCUUUUAAUUGUGGACUGGUAUGAAUGGCUUGACGAGAUACUAACUGUCUUUUUAGGAUUUUGUUAUUGAAUUUGGUUUUUGGGUAAAAAUACCUAAAUUUUGUUAUGGGACGAGAAGACCCUAUAGAGUUUUAUGUAGCUUUCUUUCUUUAGUUUGAUUUAUUUUGUUGAGUUUAUGUUGCAUUUUGUUGGGGUGAUGGGAGAUUAAGUUAAACUUCUCUUUUUAGUAGUUCACUUGUUUGUGUUUUUAUGAUCCUUUAUUAUUGAUUGUAAGAUUAAAUUACCUUAGGGAUAACAGCGUAAUUCUUUUUGAGAGUUCUU